This 315-nucleotide ribosomal RNA is filed under the name uncultured bacterium. RNAcentral describes it as "bacterial SSU rRNA". It matches the Rfam family "Bacterial small subunit ribosomal RNA", at positions 29 to 334 of the family's 1533-position model. The record is from RNAcentral.
UAUGAACGCUGGCGGCGUGCCUAACACAUGCAAGUCGAACGAAGCACCUUGAUUUCCUCGGAUUGAUAGGUGACUGAGUGGCGGACGGGUGAGUAACGCGUGGGUAACCUGCCUCAUACAGGGGGAUAACAGUUAGAAAUGACUGCUAAUACCGCAUAAGCGCACAGUACCGCAUGGUACAGUGUGAAAACUCCGGUGGUAUGAGAUGGACCCGCGUCUGAUUAGCUAGUUGGUAAGGUAACGGCUUACCAAGGCGACGAUCAGUAGCCGGCCUGAGAGGGUGAUCGGCCACAUUGGGACUGAGACACGGCCCAA